GUAGGGCUUCGGCCCUGUCGAGAUAGAACCCUUGCCUUUAUGAGUACCGUCCGUUUCCUCGGCAGGUCCGCCUGCCGAUGGACAAAAAAAAUAAACCCUUUAUCACCUGUAUCAGUCUGAAAAAUAAAUAAAAAUUAAAACUUUCAACAACGGAUCUCUUGGUUCU
RNAcentral lists this unclassified non-coding RNA (166 nucleotides) under rhizosphere metagenome. Its description in RNAcentral is "partial ribosomal RNA internal transcribed spacer region". The record is from RNAcentral.